GUGCUCACUUUGGCAGCACAUAUACUAAAAUUGGAAAGAUACAGAGAAGAUUACCAUGGUCCCUGGGCAAGGAUGACACGCAAAUUCGUGAAGCAUUCCAUAUUUUU
RNAcentral lists this small nuclear RNA (107 nucleotides) under Procavia capensis (Cape rock hyrax). Lineage: Eukaryota; Metazoa; Chordata; Mammalia; Hyracoidea; Procaviidae. The record is from RNAcentral.